This 497-nucleotide ribosomal RNA is filed under the name uncultured bacterium. RNAcentral describes it as "partial 16S ribosomal RNA". It matches the Rfam family "Bacterial small subunit ribosomal RNA", at positions 28 to 507 of the family's 1533-position model. The record is from RNAcentral.
GAUGAACGCUGGCGGCGUGCCUAAUACAUGCAAGUCGAGCGAACAGGUAAGGUGCUUGUUCCUUCGACGUUAGCGGCGGACGGGUGAGUAACACGUGGGUAACCUACCUUUAAGACUGGGAUAACUUCGGGAAACCGAUGCUAAUGCCGGAUAACAUCUUUAAACACAUGGUUCUACAGUGAAAGGUGGCUUUGCUUCACUCAAUAGUUGUACCCGGGUCGAAUUAGCUGUUUGUUAAGGUAACGGCUAACCAAGGCAAGAUUCAGAACCCGACCGGGGAGGGUGAUCGGCAACACGGGAACUGGGACAGGGUCCAGACUCCAACGGAAGGCGGCGGUGGGGAAUCUUCGGCAAUGGGGGAAGGCCUGACGGAGAAACGCCGCGGAGGGGAUGAGGGUCUUCGGAUCUAAAAACUCUGUGAUUGGGAAAGAAGAAGUGCGUAGGUGACUGCGCGCGUCGUGACGGUACCUAAUCAGAAAGCGACGGCUAACUACGUG